RNAcentral lists this long non-coding RNA (44 nucleotides) under dengue virus type 1. Its description in RNAcentral is "dengue virus type I partial sfRNA1". Lineage: Riboviria; Orthornavirae; Kitrinoviricota; Flasuviricetes; Amarillovirales; Flaviviridae. The record is from RNAcentral.
GAGAAGUCAGGCCAGAUUAAGCCUUAACACGGAAAGAGCUAUGC